GUGGGGAAUCUUCCGCAAUGGACGAAAGUCUGACGGAGCAACGCCGCGUGAGUGAAGAAGGUUUUCGGAUCGUAAAGCUCUUUCGUUAGGGACGAACGUGCUCUUUGUGAAUAAUGAGGAGUAAUGACGGUACCUAAAUAAGAAGCCACGGCUAACUACGUGCCAGCAGCCGCGGUAAUACGUAGGUGGCAAGCGUUGUCCGGAAUUAUUGGGCGUAAAGCGCGCGCAGGCGGGAUAUCAAGUCUGUCUUAAAAGUGCGAGGCUCAACCUCGUGAGGGGACAGAAACUGGUAUUCUUGAGUGUCGGAGAGGAAAGUGGAAUUCCAAGUGUAGCGGUGAAAUGCGUAGAGAUUUGGAAGAACACCAGUGGCGAAGGCGACUUUCUGGACGAUGUCUGACGCUGAGGCGCGAAAGCUAGGGGAGCGAACGGGAUUAGAAACCCCUGUAGUC
RNAcentral lists this ribosomal RNA (449 nucleotides) under uncultured bacterium. RNAcentral's name for it is "partial 16S ribosomal RNA". It matches the Rfam family "Bacterial small subunit ribosomal RNA", at positions 354 to 795 of the family's 1533-position model. The record is from RNAcentral.